GACGAACGCUGGCGGCGUGCCUAAUACAUGCAAGUUGAGCGAUGAAGCUUGGUGCUUGCACCAAUUUGAAGAGCAGCGAACGGGUGAGUAACGCGUGGGGAAUCUGCCUUUGAGCGGGGGACAACAUUUGGAAACGAAUGCUAAUACCGCAUAACAACUUUAAACAUAAGUUUUAAGUUUGAAAGAUGCAAUUGCAUCACUCAAAGAUGAUCCCGCGUUGUAUUAGCUAGUUGGUGAGGUAAAGGCUCACCAAGGCGAUGAUACAUAGCCGACCUGAGAGGGUGAUCGGCCACAUUGGGACUGAGACACGGCCCAAACUCCUACGGGAGGCAGCAGGAGGGAAUCUUCGGCCAUGGGCGAAAGUCUGAGCGAGAAACGCCGCGUGAGUGAAGAAGGUUUUCGGAUCGUAAAACUCUGUUGGUAGAGAAGAACGUUGGUGAGAGUGGAAAGCUCAUCAAGUGACGGUAACUACCCAGAAAGGGACGGCUAACUACGUG
RNAcentral lists this ribosomal RNA (497 nucleotides) under uncultured bacterium. RNAcentral's name for it is "partial 16S ribosomal RNA". It matches the Rfam family "Bacterial small subunit ribosomal RNA", at positions 28 to 507 of the family's 1533-position model. The record is from RNAcentral.